This 377-nucleotide ribosomal RNA is filed under the name uncultured bacterium. RNAcentral describes it as "bacterial SSU rRNA". It matches the Rfam family "Bacterial small subunit ribosomal RNA", at positions 523 to 898 of the family's 1533-position model. The record is from RNAcentral.
AAACGUAGGAGGCGAGCGUUAUCCGGAUUUACUGGGCGUAAAGGGCAGGUAGGCGGUUGCCAAAGUUGGGCGUGACAGAUCCUGGCUUAACUGGGAAAGGUCGUCCAAAACUAGGCGACUAGAGGGCAGGAGAGGAAAGCGGAAUUCCUAGUGUAGCGGUGGAAUGCUCAGAUAUUAGGAAGAACACCAGUGGCGAAAGCGGCUUUCUGGCCUGUACCUGACGCUGAGGGGCGAAAGCUAGGGGAGCGAACGGGCUUAGAUACCCCGGUAGUCCUAGCUGUAAACGUUGGAUACUGGGUAUUGGGGGUGUAAACUCCCGCAGUGCCGAAGCAAACGCGUUAAGUAUCCCGCCUGGGGACUACGGCCGCAAGGUUAAA